This 270-nucleotide ribosomal RNA is filed under the name uncultured archaeon. RNAcentral's name for it is "partial 16S ribosomal RNA". It matches the Rfam family "Archaeal small subunit ribosomal RNA", at positions 477 to 747 of the family's 1478-position model. The record is from RNAcentral.
CAGCUCUCCGAGUGGUGGGGACGAUUAUUGGGCUUAAAGCGUUCGUAGCCGGCUUAACAAGUCUUCCGUUAAAUCCAACGAUCUAAUCGUUGGUCUGCGGGAGAUACUGUUGGGCUAGGAGGCGGGAGAAGCCGACGGUAUUCUCGGGGUAGGGGUGAAAUCCUGUAAUCCCGGGAGGACCACCAGUGGCGAAGGCGGUCGGCUAGAACGCGCUCGACGGUGAGGGACGAAAGCUGGGGUAGCGAACCGGAUUAGAGACCCGAGUAGUCC